AAGACGCUAGUAAAAUCAGCAAUUACACUACCUUGUCAAGGUAGUAUUGUGGGUUAGACUCCCGCGCGUCUUG
This 73-nucleotide transfer RNA is filed under the name Chaenomugil proboscideus (snouted mullet). RNAcentral's name for it is "tRNA-Asp". It matches the Rfam family "tRNA". Rfam says of the family: Transfer RNA (tRNA) molecules are approximately 80 nucleotides in length. Their secondary structure includes four short double-helical elements and three loops (D, anti-codon, and T loops). Further hydrogen bonds mediate the characteristic L-shaped molecular structure. tRNAs have two regions of fundamental functional importance: the anti-codon, which is responsible for specific mRNA codon recognition, and the 3' end, to which the tRNAs corresponding amino acid is attached (by aminoacyl-tRNA synthetases). tRNAs cope with the degeneracy of the genetic code in two manners: having more than one tRNA (with a specific anti-codon) for a particular amino acid; and 'wobble' base-pairing, i.e. permitting non-standard base-pairing at the 3rd anti-codon position. The record is from RNAcentral. Lineage: Eukaryota; Metazoa; Chordata; Actinopteri; Mugiliformes; Mugilidae.